GUCCACGCCGUAAACGAUGUGUGCUUGACGUUGGUGGGUUUACCCGCCGGUGUCGCAGCUAACGCGAUAAGCACACCGCCUGGGGAGUACGGCCGCAAGGUUAAAACUCAAAGGAAUUGACGGGGGCCCGCACAAGCGGUGGAGCAUGUGGUUUAAUUCGACGCAACGCGAAGAACCUUACCAGCCCUUGACAUGGGGAGUAUGGGCCGCAGAGACGCGGCUCUUCAGUUCGGCUGGCUCCCACACAGGUGCUGCAUGGCUGUCGU
Molecule: ribosomal RNA, 266 nt
Filed under: uncultured bacterium
Lineage: Bacteria
Description: partial 16S ribosomal RNA
Rfam family: Bacterial small subunit ribosomal RNA
Source: RNAcentral